Molecule: ribosomal RNA, 705 nt
Filed under: Triticum aestivum (bread wheat)
Lineage: Eukaryota; Viridiplantae; Streptophyta; Magnoliopsida; Poales; Poaceae
Description: partial small subunit ribosomal RNA
Source: RNAcentral
AUGAUAAACACAAAAUACUGCCGAGGUAUAGGCCAGGGACUUGGCAGUAACAAGAUGUGCUACCUGGCUAGGUUGAUUCAUGCCACCAAAGCUCAGGUCACUUUUGUUUCAGAAAUUAAAACCUCCAAAUAUAAGCCGGCUGAUUUAAACCAACGUUUUGAUAUGGCUAAUAGUUUUGUAGUUCCUUCCAAGGGUCGCUCGGGAGGACUCUGGCUGAUGUGGCAUGACGACCUCCAAAUCAAUGUACAUAUUUCUAAUUUCCAUGUUAUCCUAUCUUUAGUAGUUAAUAGAGUAACUAGGGAGGAGUUUGCUCUGGUUUGUAUCUAUGGUGAUCCCUACCACCGCCAAACAGACCAGAUUUGGGACCUUGUGGCAUCUUUUGUGUAUGAUAAUGCCAACAAGCCAAUAGUUUGUAUGGGAGAUCUUAACAAUAUCUUGUAUGAUAUGGACAAAAGUUCUCCCCAUAUGAAUGCUACUCGUAUGUUUGCCUUUCGUAAUCUGGUCAAAACUUGUGGUUUAUUUGACCUUGGCUACAGUGGUCCGGCUUACACUUGGACAAACAAAAGAUAUUCUUCCAAUCCUAUAUAUGAACGACUUGAUAGAUGUUUAGCAAAUGCAGAAUGGUGUGCUCUUUAUCCUGUCACUAAUGUUUAUAAUAUGCCUAUCACUAUUAGUGACCAUGCUCCCAUUCUUGUCUCUACAUAA